Ictidomys tridecemlineatus (thirteen-lined ground squirrel) is the source of this 2074-nucleotide RNA transcript. It is a transcript of the gene named radial spoke head component 9, with no coding region annotated. NCBI's taxonomy places the organism in Eukaryota, Metazoa, Chordata, Mammalia, Rodentia, Sciuridae. The record is from RefSeq and is a predicted model, not a curated record.
CGGGAUUCUUGGUCUCCGUGGAGACGGCUACUCCUAGCGACCUAACAGGCGUUGAGCAGAGUUGCUGGCCUGAUGGACGCGGAGAGCCUCCUCCUGUCGCUGGAGCUGGCGUCGGGCAGUGGGCAGGGCCUCAGCCCCGACCGCCGGGCCUCGCUGCUCACUUCCCUCCUGCUAGUGAAGCGCGACUACCGAUACGAUCGGGUCCUGUUUUGGGGUCGCAUCCUCGGCAUCGUCGCGGAUUACUACAUCGCGCAGGGCCUGAGUGAGGACCAGCUCGCACCACGCAAGACACUCUACAGCCUGAACUGCACCGAUUGGAGCCUCUUGCCCCCCGCCACAGAGGAGACGAUGGCACAGACAGCCAUGGUGAAGGGUCGCUUCAUGGGGGACCCAUCACAUGAGUAUGAACACACCGAAAUCCAGAAAGUGAAUGAGGGUGAGAAGAUCUUUGAAGAAGAAGUAGUGGUCCAGGUCAAGGAAGAGACCCGCUUGGUGUCCAUCAUUGACCAGAUUGACCAGGCUGUGGCCAUCAUCCCCCGAGGUGCCCUCUUCAAGACCCCUUUUGGACCCUCUAAUGUUAACCGAACUUUUGAAGGACUGUCCUUGUCUGAAGCCAAGAAGCUCAGCUCUUACUUCCACUUCAGGGAGGCUAUCGACUUGAAGAAUAAGACCUUGCUUGAGAAGGCUGACCUGGACCCCUCCCUGGACUUCAUGGACUCUUUGGAGCAUGACAUCCCCAAAGGAUAUGUGGGAUGUUCCCCUGGAAGAUCAUUUGCCACUCAAUUAUUCCACUUGGUGGUCCACACAGGCUGAGGAGCUGGCAGGAAACAGCAGCACCUAAGGACAGGAUGUCACAGACACCCUUUGUCAGAGGGUCUUGCAAGCAGGUUUGUAUUGCUGACCUUCCUGCAGAUCAGUGACUAGCGAGGCAUCUGGGGGUCAGAGGAUGGAGCGGAAGAGAAGACUUUCCAUCAUCGUAAACCACUUGGAAAAAUGGGUAGGCAAUAGCAAGACUCAAUGACCCCCUCCUCUUCACCCCCCCCCCAGGAGGUUCUCUGUCUGUUCCUCCAUAGGUUUCCAGAUUAACUGCCCACAUCCAUGUAGUGAGAGCUUCCCUGAACAUUGGAGGUGACAGGAGAGGUGACAGGAGAGGUGACAGGACUUCAGGACAAAGUACAACUAUAGCGCUUUGAGCUGAUCACUCCUUCCUUUGUCUGGAGCUACUGCUGGCUCCCGGCUGCCUUUCCACCCCCACUCUGUCCCUCCUUCCCCUUCCCCAUCUCCACGAACACCUUCCCCUUCCUUCUAGGUGCCUUCUGAACUGCCUCCGGAGUCACAGGCCUGGCCACCCAUGGGGCUGCCUUUGCCCCUCCACUAGGAGCCCCCAUGAUCUCUGUCUGAGCUGCUCUGGAAUCCACUCUCUCCCAAUUUGCAGGGUGACCUUGAGUCCCUUGUUCCAUUUCUGGGCCUGUGGGAGAUCCUCUGGGAAGAUAGUCUACCCUGAUGCCCCUUGUUCUGCUGUGACCUGGGGAGGGAGAAUGAGUGGAAUGAAGCUUGUUCAGUUCUAGAAGAGUCACUGCUUGAGGAGACAGUCUCAUGAGUCUUAAGAUUACUUUGUCUCUCUCCUCCCUUUUUAAAGACCCAAGUGACUUGAACUUUUAAUUCGAUGACAAUAUGGACAUUGGCUGGGUCCAGUGUUAUGUGUAUCCCUGUGAAAGCUAGUGACACCACACUGGAACAUGGGAUCCAGAGUUGGGUCCUCCUCUGACUCACCAUCAGGUUGUCUCCAAAAAGCAGGGUGGAGGUGGGAGGCCCCUCCCCUCCCUAGUACAGGUUGCUCAAACCCCCUCAGGCCAGAUUGCAACCCUAGCUCUAUCUAAAGGGAAUUGUGCAUCGUCAUUGCCCUGGGCCCACAGGGUGAUCCUGGAAUAGGAAUAGGAGGUUUUAACACUCCUUGCAGUAUAUCCCACAGGGCAUGGCAGGCUCAGGUUGUGGGGGGCUGGGUGCAAAGUGAUGAUUAAUGGCUAACUUUCCUUAGAACUCUUCCAGCCUCCUUCCAACUUCAGGGUCUUUU